GCAAGUCGAACGCAUAGGAUAGUGCUUGCAUUAUCCAAUGAGUGGCGCACGGGUGAGUAACACGUAGAAAUCUACCUAGUAGUGGGGGAUAGCUUUUGGAAACGAAAGGUAAAACCGCAUAAUCCCUGAGGGGCAAAUAUUUAUAGCUAUUAGAUGAGUCUGCGUCUGAUUAGAUAGUUGGUAGGGUAAGAGCCUACCAAGUCAACGAUCAGUAGCUGGUUUGAGAGGAUGAUC
RNAcentral lists this ribosomal RNA (234 nucleotides) under uncultured bacterium. RNAcentral's name for it is "partial 16S ribosomal RNA". It matches the Rfam family "Bacterial small subunit ribosomal RNA", at positions 57 to 305 of the family's 1533-position model. The record is from RNAcentral.